UCCGUAGGGUGCAAGCGUUAAUCGGAAUUACUGGGCGUAAAGCGUGCGCAGGCGGUUAUGUAAGGCAGAUGUGAAAUCCCCGGGCUCAACCUGGGAACUGCAUUUGUGACUGCAUCGCUGGAGUGCGGCAGAGGGGGAUGGAAUUCCGCGUGUAGCAGUGAAAUGCGUAGAUAUGCGGAGGAACACCGAUGGCGAAGGCAAUCCCCUGGGCCUGCACUGACGCUCAUGCACGAAAGCGUGGGGAGCAAACAGG
RNAcentral lists this ribosomal RNA (253 nucleotides) under uncultured bacterium. Its description in RNAcentral is "partial 16S ribosomal RNA". It matches the Rfam family "Bacterial small subunit ribosomal RNA", at positions 524 to 776 of the family's 1533-position model. The record is from RNAcentral.